Molecule: ribosomal RNA, 109 nt
Organism: Scophthalmus maximus (turbot)
Lineage: Eukaryota; Metazoa; Chordata; Actinopteri; Pleuronectiformes; Scophthalmidae
Source: Ensembl
GCUUACGGCCACACCGCCUGGUUCACGCCUGAUCUCGGAAGCUAAGAUAGGUUGGGCCUGGUUAGUACGUGGAUGGGAGACCGCCUGGGAAUACCAGGUGCUGCAAGCU